This is an RNA transcript of Malania oleifera, 2213 nucleotides long. It is a transcript of the gene named prefoldin subunit 6, with no coding region annotated. The record is from RefSeq and is a predicted model, not a curated record. Lineage: Eukaryota; Viridiplantae; Streptophyta; Magnoliopsida; Santalales; Ximeniaceae. The transcript is spliced from 7 exons.
AUCCCAAUCUGGUGACGAUGGCGUGCGGCGGUGCGAGGAGGGUGAACGGUGACGAUGGCAUCAACGGCGAAGGGGCGGAUGAUGUCUAAUUUGAGAUCAACAUCAAUGGCGGACCCACUCAUCCCUCAUAAGUGCCUUGGCUGCGAUGAGGGAAACCUGCGCAUACGCUAUUUGGAGAAAGGAGGAGAUGGAGCGGAGAGGAAGCGGAGAGGAAGAAGAGGGAAGUUAACUGGAAAUUACAAUUAUGCCAUUGGGUGUGAUUAGAAUUAUAUUCAUGUUAUUGUUAUUGUAUAUUCGAGAGCACUCUUAACAAAAAUAUUUAAAUAUUAACUAAAAAUAAAGAUUAACAUAAUUAUUAAUUAAAUUAUUAGUUAGAUAUAUUUCUAUUUAAUUUAAAAUAUAUUUAAAAAGUGUCAUAAAAUUAUUUGAUUAUGUUUUAUAACAUAUUAAUUAUUUAUAAAAUAUAAUUCAGAAAUGUAUAAAAAAUCAUAUAUUAAUUUAAAUUAACAUUAAAUAAGUUAAAAAUUUUAAUUUAGUUAAUAAUAAUAUUGUAACAUAAACUAAUGUGAUAAUAAUAUGUUAUGAAUAUACAUUAAUAAUAAGAUUAUUGUUAAUUAAAAUAUAAUAAUAUUAUACACAAUAAAAAAUAUUUAAAUCUUAAUUAAAAAUAAUCAACACAAUUUUCAAUUAAAUUUUUAGUUAGAAAAUAUUAAUAUUUUGAUCUAAAAUAAUUUAAAAAAAUUACAUAAUAUAUUUUUAUAUAUUUUGACAUAUUAGCUAUUAACAAAAUAUUAUUCAAUUAUGCAAUGAAGAAGAGCUAUGUAUUAAUUUAAAUUAAUAUAAAAUAAGUUAAAAUUUUAGUUUGAUUAACGUUAUUGUUUUUAACAUAACCUAAUAUGAUACUCAUAUAUUAUAAAUAUACAUUAAUAAUAUGAUUACUGUUAAUUAAAGUACUAAUUUUAUAUUAUUUUACUUAAUAAAAAUAUUUAAAUAUUGUUCUAAAAUAAUUAAGAUAAUUAUUAAUUAAAAUUUUGAUUACUAAGUAUUAUUAUUUUAAAAUUUAAAUUUAUUAAAAAAUAAUCAUAUUUUAUUUUAAUUAAUGGUAAAAUAUAAUAAUAUAAAUUCAUAUAACACUUAAAAAUUUAUAACAGAAAUGGAUAUCUAAAUAUAUUUUAAAUACAACUAAAUAUCAGUUAUGAUUUUUAGUAUUUUUUUGAUUUAUUAUUUAUUAUCAAUACGUAUUACAUUGAACACAUUUUCUUAAGAAUAUUAACACUUUACUACGCUAAAUUUAAUUAAUUGUAAUUAUUGAAUGAGUUAAUCAAAAUCUGUCAAUCAGCUCAGUCACGUGCAAGUAGCAUGGUCCCUACGAGCACAUGAAAAAUGGUUCAAGGCGGAUAUCGGAUCGCGGCGGGGGCAGAAGCAGGAGCAAACAUGGCUUCCUCCGCAGCUCUUCGAGAACUACAACGCGAACUCGAGACUAAAGCCAACGAUCUUAGCAAGCUUCAGAAAGACAUUGCAAAGAAUCAUCAAGUGAGAAAGAAGUACACCAUUCAGCUUGGGGAGAACGAACUGGUCCUAAAGGAGCUGGAUCUGUUGAAUGAAGACGCAAAUGUGUACAAAUUGAUUGGCCCGGUUCUGGUGAAACAGGAUUUGGCGGAAGCCAAUGCCAAUGUGCGCAAGAGAAUCGAUUACAUCUCUGCCGAAUUAAAGCGUCUUGAUGCAACCCUUCAAGAUCUGGAUGAGAAGCAAAAUAGCAAGAAAGACAUGAUAUUAAAGUUGCAACAAAGAAUUCAAUCUCUCCAGGCUGGAAAAGCUAAGGCAUAGUUUGCUUUAUAUGGAUUAUCAAUGAAUGUUAUGGAAUACCUAUUUCUGCCCAAGCUAUUUGUAAUUCAAGUCACAAAUGGCAUACAUGGAGCAGUUACCACCAUCAGUCUCAGACUUUCAGGCUGAAAUUUGAAGACAGCGAAGGUGGUGAAGGACCGAAGGUGAAGGGUGUCAAAGAAUGUGGCGACAUUGCGCGAGCUUAUGAAGGCAACCAACUCAAUGUGGAAGGUGUCUGCUGUUGAGCAACCUCCCUAAGUGGCCAUGUGUGUCCACCUGCACGCCUGUGUGUACGUAUAUAUAUCUUCAGUUGCUACUAAAUUGGAAAGAAUUAUUUUACCUACACCCACUGUGGCAGAUCCAUAUCUAUUUCAUGAUUAAGUUUUGAG